GGAUCAGUACGCUGGUCCUGCCUUUGGUAUGUACUGGUGUCACUGAUUCCUCCCUUCUGAAGAACCGUUAUGCCAUUUAUUUGGUGUGAUGGGAAAUCAGGACUGUUACUUUGAAAAAAUUAGAGUGUUUAAAGCAGACUAUCGUCUGAAUACAUUAGCAUGGAAUAAUGAAAUAGGACGGACUGAUUCUAUUUCGUUGGUUUCUAGGAUCACCGUA
This 217-nucleotide ribosomal RNA is filed under the name Campeiostachys nutans. RNAcentral describes it as "Elymus nutans partial small subunit ribosomal RNA". The stretch from base 23 to 217 matches the Rfam family "Eukaryotic small subunit ribosomal RNA", at positions 669 to 864 of the family's 1831-position model. The record is from RNAcentral. Lineage: Eukaryota; Viridiplantae; Streptophyta; Magnoliopsida; Poales; Poaceae.